CACUCCCUCCUCUCCCCGCCCAAUUGUCCUUCCAACUUCCAAGCACAUAUCUCGCCAUUGUGGUUGUUCUAUCACUUUACCAAUAAAUUCUUUGAUCACUGUGAAAAGAUGCUUUCCAUAACGCAGGUAGUAACCAUGCAUCACCAUGGAUGGAUGAUUGCUUGGAUUCUUCGCACUCAAGAGACGCUACUGAGAAGAGAAGAUAAAAAGAUCAGAGAGAAGGGUUUCGAUUAUCCGACCUUCAAGUUUCUUUCUUCCAAAAUACAGCCAUUUCAAAAAUUCAUUCCCAAAACUGAUUCUACAUUAAAAUUGUACCGCUACUUGGAUGGCGUGCCGCGGUAUAUGAAUAUGUGAUGGUUUCAACCUUUUUUAGUCUCUGUUCAUGGUUAAUAAUCACCACCAGUAGUAUUUGUUAAUUUAUUUGAAGCCAAAAUGGACUUUGUUAGUUACAACUUGCACAUCUCCGUUAAAUAUGUAAUUUAUGUUUUGUAUUUUUUGUUUUUGUCUUUAAUUAUUUGUACAAAAGGACUUUGAGGUUUUGAUCA
Molecule: long non-coding RNA, 545 nt
Organism: Helianthus annuus (common sunflower)
Lineage: Eukaryota; Viridiplantae; Streptophyta; Magnoliopsida; Asterales; Asteraceae
Exons: 2
Source: RefSeq, a predicted model, not a curated record